UACGGGGGGGGCAAGCGUUGUUCGGAAUUACUGGGCGUAAAGGGCUCGUAGGUGGCCAACUAAGUCAGACGUGAAAUCCCCAGGCUUAACCUGGGAACUGCGUCUGAUACUGGAUGGCUUGAAUUCGGGAGAGGGAUGCAGAAUUCCAGGUGUAGCGGUGAAAUUCGUAGAUAUCGGGAGGAACACCGGUGGCGAAGGCGGCGACCUGGGUCGACACUGACGCUGAGGCGCGAAAGCGUGGGGAGCAAACAGG
This 253-nucleotide ribosomal RNA is filed under the name uncultured bacterium. RNAcentral's name for it is "partial 16S ribosomal RNA". It matches the Rfam family "Bacterial small subunit ribosomal RNA", at positions 524 to 776 of the family's 1533-position model. The record is from RNAcentral.